This 397-nucleotide ribosomal RNA is filed under the name uncultured bacterium. RNAcentral's name for it is "partial 16S ribosomal RNA". It matches the Rfam family "Bacterial small subunit ribosomal RNA", at positions 523 to 918 of the family's 1533-position model. The record is from RNAcentral.
AUACGUAGGGGGCGAGCGUUGUCCGGAAUGAUUGGGCGUAAAGGGCGCGUAGGCGGCCCGGUAAGUCUGGAGUGAAAGUCCUGUUUUUAAGAUGGGAAUUGCUUUGGAUACUGUCGGGCUUGAGUGCAGGAGAGGUAAGUGGAAUUCCCAGUGUAGCGGUGAAAUGCGUAGAGAUUGGGAGGAACACCAGUGGCGAAGGCGACUUACUGGACUGUAACUGACGCUGAGGCGCGAAAGUGUGGGGAGCAAACAGGAUUAGAUACCCUGGUAGUCCACACUGUAAACGGUGAAUGCUAGGUGUAGGGGGUAUCGACCCCUUCUGUGCCGCAGUCAACACAAUAAGCAUUCCGCCUGGGGAGUACGGCCGCAAGGUUGAAACUCAAAGGAAUUGACGGGG